This 563-nucleotide ribosomal RNA is filed under the name uncultured bacterium. Its description in RNAcentral is "bacterial SSU rRNA". It matches the Rfam family "Bacterial small subunit ribosomal RNA", at positions 338 to 916 of the family's 1533-position model. The record is from RNAcentral.
CCUACGGGAGGCAGCAGUGAGGAAUAUUGGGCAAUGGGCGAAAGCCUGACCCAGCAACGCCGCGUGGAGGAAGACGGCCUUCGGGUUGUAAACUCCUUUUGACGGGGAAGAGAGAGGACGGUACCCGUCGAAUAAGUCACGGCUAACUACGUGCCAGCAGCCGCGGUAAUACGUAGGUGACAAGCGUUAUCCGGAAUUACUGGGCGUAAAGCGCACGCAGGCGGCUGAUUAAGUCUGACGUGAAAUCUCCCGGCUUAACUGGGAGGGGUCGUUGGAAACUGAUUGGCUUGAGGUGGUGAGAGGGGUGUGGAAUUCCCGGUGUAGUGGUGGAAUGCGUAGAUAUCGGGAGGAACACCAGAGGCGAAAGCGGCACCCUGGCACUGACCUGACGCUCAUGUGCGAAAGCGUGGGGAGCAAACGGGAUUAGAUACCCCGGUAGUCCACGCCGUAAACGAUGAGUACUAGGUGUGGGUGGAGUCAAAUCCAUCUGUGCCGAAGCAAACGCGCUAAGUACUCCGCCUGGGGAGUACGGCCGCAAGGCUAAAACUCAAAUGAAUUGACGG